RNAcentral lists this ribosomal RNA (2309 nucleotides) under human gut metagenome. RNAcentral's name for it is "bacterial LSU rRNA". It matches the Rfam family "Bacterial large subunit ribosomal RNA", at positions 14 to 2350 of the family's 2925-position model. The record is from RNAcentral.
AGCGUACAAGGUGGAUGCCUUGGCAAUCAGAGGCGAGGAAGGACGUGCUAAUCUGCGAAAAGCUUGGAUGAGUCGAUAAGAGGCGUUUAAUCCAAGAUGUCCGAAUGGGGAAACCCAGUAGAUGAAGAAUCUACUAUCACUUACUGAAUCCAUAGGUAAGUGAGGCAAACCGGGAGAACUGAAACAUCUAAGUACCCCGAGGAAAAGAAAUCAACCGAGAUUUCGUUAGUAGCGGCGAGCGAACGCGAAGGAGCCUGUUAGUGAUAAUGACAGAGACAGAGGAACAAGCUGGGAAGCUUGGCGAUACAGGGUGAUAGCCCCGUACUCGAAGUCCAGGUCAUGGUACUAAGCUAACGACAAGUAGGGCGGGACACGUGAUAUCCUGUUUGAAGAUGGGGGGACCAUCCUCCAAGGCUAAAUACUCCUGAUUGACCGAUAGUGAACCAGUACUGUGAAGGAAAGGCGAAAAGAACCCCGGUGAGGGGAGUGAAAUAGAACCUGAAACCUUGUACGUACAAGCAGUGGGAGCCCUUUAAGGGUGACUGCGUACCUUUUGUAUAAUGGGUCAGCGACUUAUAUUUUGUAGCGAGGUUAACCGAAUAGGGGAGCCGAAGGGAAACCGAGUCUUAACUGGGCGUCUAGUUGCAAGGUAUAGACCCGAAACCCGGUGAUCUAGCCAUGGGCAGGUUGAAGGUUGGGUAACACUAACUGGAGGACCGAACCGACUAAUGUUGAAAAAUUAGCGGAUGACUUGUGGCUGGGGGUGAAAGGCCAAUCAAACCGGGAGAUAGCUGGUUCUCCCCGAAAUCUAUUUAGGUAGAGCCUUGAGCGGACACCUUCGGGGGUAGAGCACUGUUUCGGCUAGGGGUCCAUCCCGGAUUACCAACCCGAUGCAAACUACGAAUACCGAAGAGUGAUACUCAGGAGACACACGGCGGGUGCUAACGUCCGUCGUGGAGAGGGAAACAACCCAGACCGCCAGCUAAGGUCCCAAAGUCUAUAUUAAGUGGGAAACGAAGUGGGAAGGCUUAGACAGCUAGGAUGUUGGCUUAGAAGCAGCCAUCAUUUAAAGAAAGCGUAAUAGCUCACUAGUCGAGUCGGCCUGCGCGGAAGAUGUAACGGGGCUCAAAUAUAGCACCGAAGCUGCGGCAUCAGUAGCAAUACUGUUGGGUAGGGGAGCGUUCUGUAAGCGGAUGAAGAUGGCUCGAGAGGGCUGUUGGACGUAUCAGAAGUGCGAAUGCUGACAUAAGUAACGAUAAAACGGGUGAAAAACCCGUUCGCCGGAAGACCAAGGGUUCCUGUCCAACGUUAAUCGGGGCAGGGUGAGUCGGCCCCUAAGGCGAGGCUGAAAAGCGUAGUCGAUGGGAAACGGGUUAAUAUUCCCGUACUUGGAUAAACUGCGAUGUGGGGACGGAGUAGGUUAGGUUAUCGCACUGUUGGAUAUGUGCGUUUAAGUUUGUAGGUGUGAAGUUUAGGCAAAUCCGGACUUCUAUAACACUGAGAGAUGAUGACGAGGCUCUACGGAGCUGAAGUAACCGAUACCACACUUCCAGGAAAAGCCACUAAGCUUCAGGUUUAUCUAAACCGUACUGAAAACCGACACAGGUGGUCAGGUAGAGAAUACUCAGGCGCUUGAGAGAACUCGGGUGAAGGAACUAGGCAAAAUAGCACCGUAACUUCGGGAGAAGGUGCGCCGGCGUAGAUUGUAGUCCCUUGCGGAUGAAGGUUGAACCGGUCGAAGAUACCAGCUGGCUGCAACUGUUUAUUAAAAACACAGCACUCUGCAAACACGAAAGUGGACGUAUAGGGUGUGAUGCCUGCCCGGUGCUGGAAGGUUAAUUGAUGGUGUAAUCGAAAGAGAAGCUCCUGAUCGAAGCCCCAGUAAACGGCGGCCGUAACUAUAACGGUCCUAAGGUAGCGAAAUUCCUUGUCGGGUAAGUUCCGACCUGCACGAAUGGCAUAAUGAUGGCCAGGCUGUCUCCACCCGAGACUCAGUGAAAUUGAAAUCGCCGUGAAGAUGCGGUGUACCCGCGGCUAGACGGAAAGACCCCGUGAACCUUUACUAUAGCUUGACACUGAACAUUGAAUUUUGAUGUGUAGGAUAGGUGGGAGACUUAGAAGUAGUCACGCCAGUGAUUAUGGAGUCGUCCUUGAAAUACCACCCUUUAACGUUUGAUGUUCUAACGAAGAUUACGAAACGUGGUCUCGGACAGUGUCUGGUGGGUAGUUUGACUGGGGCGGUCUCCUCCCAAAGAGUAACGGAGGAGCACGAAGGUUAGCUAAUCCUGGUCGGACAUCAGGAGGUUAGU